CCAAUAGCGUAUAUUAAAGUUGUUGCAGUUAAAAAGCUCGUAGUUGAAUUUCGGGAUCAAUACGUCGGUCGUGCCUCUGGUAUGAACUGGUGUUAUUGAUUCCUCCUUUCUGAUAAACCAUGAUGUCAUUAAUUUGGUGUUGUGGGGAGUCAGGACUGUUACUUUGAAAAAAUUAGAGUGUUUAAAGCAGGCCUACGCCUGAAUACAUUAGCAUGGAAUAAUGAAAUAGGACGUUCGAACCUAUUCUGUUGGUUUCUAGGAUCAACGUAAUGAUUAAUAGGGAUAGUUGGGGGCAUUAGUAUUCAAUUGUCAGAGGUGAAAUUCUUGGAUUUAUUGAAGACUAACUACUGCGAAAGCAUUUGCCAAGGAUGUUUUCAUUAAUCAAGAACGAAAGUUAGGGGAUCGAAGACGAUCAGAUACCGUCGUAGUCUUAACCAUAAACUAUGCCGACUAGGGAUCGGAUGAUGUUAAUUUUUUAAUGACUCAUUCGGCGCCUUACG
RNAcentral lists this ribosomal RNA (500 nucleotides) under uncultured Glomeromycotina. RNAcentral's name for it is "partial small subunit ribosomal RNA". It matches the Rfam family "Eukaryotic small subunit ribosomal RNA", at positions 591 to 1092 of the family's 1831-position model. The record is from RNAcentral. Lineage: Eukaryota; Fungi; Glomeromycota.